AGACCCGAAACCCGGUGAUCUAGCCAUGGGCAGGUUGAAGGUUGGGUAACACUAACUGGAGGACCGAACCGACUAAUGUUGAAAAAUUAGCGGAUGACCUGUGGCUGGGGGUGAAAGGCCAAUCAAACCGGGAGAUAGCUGGUUCUCCCCGAAAGCUAUUUAGGUAGCGCCUCGUGAAUUCAUCUCCGGGGGUAGAGCACUGUUUCGGCUAGGGGGCCAUCCCGGCUUACCAACCCGAUG
RNAcentral lists this ribosomal RNA (240 nucleotides) under Salmonella enterica. RNAcentral describes it as "partial 23S ribosomal RNA". It matches the Rfam family "Bacterial large subunit ribosomal RNA", at positions 711 to 949 of the family's 2925-position model. The record is from RNAcentral. Lineage: Bacteria; Pseudomonadati; Pseudomonadota; Gammaproteobacteria; Enterobacterales; Enterobacteriaceae. RNAcentral also lists the same sequence under 3 other names.